Molecule: ribosomal RNA, 327 nt
Filed under: Triticum aestivum (bread wheat)
Lineage: Eukaryota; Viridiplantae; Streptophyta; Magnoliopsida; Poales; Poaceae
Description: partial small subunit ribosomal RNA
Source: RNAcentral
AAAUUAACUUAUUUGUCAUAAUUUUUCUGGUUAUGUCUUCUCCUCUUUACUUUUUAUAUUCUCUUAUUUAAUAAUAUUAAUGGAAUACUUAGAAUUAGUAGAAUUCUCAAACUAUGGAACCAACUACUUUCGCGCCGGGGGCGAGAUCCAGAGCAAGGACCUAUGAAUCUGGAAGAUAUCUCGAGAAAAGGUUUUAGCAUCAGUCUCUCAUAUAUGUACUCCAGUCUAAGUAUCCCAAUGGUGUAAGACCGUUGACUAUUUGGGAAAAAGGAGGAAAAUCACUCUGAUCUCUGAUUUUAGAGAAAUAAGUGGCCUUAUGGUCCAUAG